RNAcentral lists this ribosomal RNA (380 nucleotides) under uncultured eukaryote. RNAcentral describes it as "SSU rRNA". It matches the Rfam family "Eukaryotic small subunit ribosomal RNA", at positions 587 to 972 of the family's 1831-position model. The record is from RNAcentral.
AGCUCCAAUAGCGUAUAUUAAAGUUGUUGCGGUUAAAAGCUCGUAGUUGGAUUUCUGUCGAGGGUGGUCGGUCCGCACUAUGUGCGUGUAUCUGGCUCGGCCUUGGCAUCCUCUUGGGGAACGUGUCUGUGCUUGAUUGCAUGGCCUGGGAUUCAAGACUUUUACUUUGAGGAAAUUGGAGUGUUUACGGCAAGCGCACGCUCUGAACAUAGUAGCAUGGAAUAAUAAUAUAGGGCCUGGGCUCUAUUUUGUUGGUUUCUAGCGCUUAGGCAAUGAUUAAUAGGGAUAAUUGGGGGCAUUUGUAUUGACGCGUCAGAGGUGGAAUUCUUGGAUUGCGUUACGACAAGCUACUGCGAAAGCAUUUGCCAAGGAUGUUUUCA